This 467-nucleotide ribosomal RNA is filed under the name uncultured bacterium. RNAcentral describes it as "partial 16S ribosomal RNA". It matches the Rfam family "Bacterial small subunit ribosomal RNA", at positions 28 to 507 of the family's 1533-position model. The record is from RNAcentral.
GACGAACGCUGGCGGCGUGCUUAACACAUGCAAGUCGAACGGAAAGGCCCAAGCUUGCUUGGGUACUCGAGUGGCGAACGGGUGAGUAACACGUGGGUGAUCUGCCCUGCACUUCGGGAUAAGCCUGGGAAACUGGGUCUAAUACCGGAUAGGACGAUGGUUUGGAUGCCAUUGUGGAAAGUUUUUUCGGUGUGGGAUGAGCUCGCGGCCUAUCAGCUUGUUGGUGGGGUAAUGGCCUACCAAGGCGUCGACGGGUAGCCGGCCUGAGAGGGUGUACGGCCACAUUGGGACUGAGAUACGGCCCAGACUCCUACGGGAGGCAGCAGUGGGGAAUAUUGCACAAUGGGCGCAAGCCUGAUGCAGCGACGCCGCGUGGGGGAUGACGGCCUUCGGGUUGUAAACUCCUUUCGCUAGGGACGAAGCGUUUUGUGACGGUACCUGGAGAAGAAGCACCGGCUAACUACGUG